This 440-nucleotide ribosomal RNA is filed under the name uncultured bacterium. RNAcentral's name for it is "partial 16S ribosomal RNA". It matches the Rfam family "Bacterial small subunit ribosomal RNA", at positions 338 to 795 of the family's 1533-position model. The record is from RNAcentral.
CCUACGGUAGGCAGCAGUGGGGAAUAUUGCACAAUGGGGGGAACCCUGAUGCAGCGACGCCGCGUGAAGGAUGAAGUAUUUCGGUACGUAAACUUCUAUCAGCAGGGAAGAAAAUGACGGUACCUGACUAAGAAGCCCCGGCUAACUACGUGCCAGCAGCCGCGGUAAUACGUAGGGGGCAAGCGACAUCCGGCUUUACUGGUUGGAAAGGGAGCGUAGACGGGCCAGCAAGGCUGAUGUGAACACGCGGGGCACAACCCCGGGAGUGCAUUGGAAACGGCGGGCCUGGAGUGCCGGAGUGGUAAGCGGAAUUCCUAGUGCAGCGGUGAAAUGAGUAGAGAUUAGGAGGAACACCAGUGGCGAAGGCGGCUUACUGGACGGUAACUGACGUUGAGGCUCGAAAGCGUGGGGAGAAAACAGGAUUAGAGACCCGAGUAGUC